GAUUGGUCACCAUGGCGACCGAAGCACCGCCGACGUCGGCUGCAGGAGAGUGGGGGACUGCGCGCGGGGAGGGGCGCGGGCCUGGCCGGCGCGCUCCUUCCGGGCUCAUACGCCCUCCCCUCGCCCCUCCGCCUCGCCACUGCCAGGGGCGGGGUCGCCGCUCGGCCCGCUACGGUCCUCGGCCUUCCAGGCGAAGGGCAAGAGCGAGCCCUGGCGGACCGUGCGUAGGGGUGCAGAGACCUGGAUGCGGCCUGCGAUCUCCUUCCCCGCCCCGGCGUUCUCCGCCCACCCGGGGUCCUUCCCGCCAAAACCUCUCACCUACAAGUACAGCGCGCCCUAAAUUUGGCACCGGCAAAGAACUGUGGCUGAGCAAUGCGUUGCUCACAGGCUCCUUUCUUUGUGUUUUUUUCUCUUCUCGUUGCUAUAUAUAACAAAACCCUCCACGUUUUGAUGUCUCCGAGGAGUCAUUCUGACAGCAGUGCGGUCGCUGAUAGACUCACAGAAUGUCAAUGUCAGCGCUGAAGAGAUCUUGGAGAUCACUUAAUCCAGAGAUUUGGAGCCUCAUGUGAACUUCGGAGUCCGGAACCCCCUAAAACACAGGCCAGUUUUUGCUUAUGACGAAGCAGACCGCAAGGAAUAAAGGGAAUUGCCAAGGUCACACAGGCAAUGGUAGAGUGCAAGAUGGCUUUUGGGCCCUCCACUGCUCACUGUGCUUCUGCUUUUCACUCUCCCCAAGCAAUACCUUACUCUACCAUGAGGUGUUAAAAGAUGAACAUCUAUAAUGAUUGAUGCUUAAAUUCAUGACAUAAAGAUUUUUAAGAAGUCAUUGGUCACUUUGAAGAAUGCAAGGAACUACCUCUUAAUUUUAAAAACUGGUAAAUAAAAUAAGCAUUUUUUCCUGUCUUUCCUAUAUUGCCUAUAUCAGAUAACCAAACAACUGAUGAAAGGGAAGACUCAAGUUAAUAAAAAAGAAAGGAUAGAAGUAGAAUAUCACCAUUUUGCAGUCUUCAAAGAGGUAAUGACCUCUUUCAAAGAAGCAAUGAUCAUCAGUGACUAACAACAGCAGAAAAAGAAACAAUUGGAUAUCAUGGACCUCCUGCUAGACACUACCACAGUGCAGUGGUCUUGUGGGGAGUGUUGGGAGCAGUUCACAAGACUGCUCUUACUUCUGGCAUCAACUGCAAGUUUGGGGAUUCUCAAAACCACACAAUUUUGAUAAUUUGCUAGAAGGACUUGAAGUCACUAAAAGUUGUUAUCCUAAUGGUUAUGGUUUAUCACAACUAAAGGAUACAGAUUAAAGGUAGUCCAGGAAAAAAAUCAUGUAAGGCAAAGUCUAGAAAAGUUCCAUAUAUGGAUGUUCCAGUUAUCUUCUCCCUGUGGAGUUGUAUGCACCAUUACUUUCCCAAUAUCAGUGUAUGACCAUAUGCACAGAUUAUUGCCAAGCACCUGAGCCUUCCUGUCCAGAUAUUUAUUUGGUUGGCUGCCCACAUGACUUCUCCAUCUCCAGCCCCUCCAGAGCUGAUUGCUGAGUAUGUGUGACCCAAACCUCCCACUCUGUAUCACAUCAUUACACUAUCCAGUUUAACCAAGGCCUGCACACAAACAAAACCACUCCUAUCAUGAAACUCCAAGGGUUUAGAAAUUACACCCCCAAAUAGAGGGCAAAGGCCAGACCCCUUUUUGGACAAGAUUAUAGUCUUUUCUACACAUCUUGCAAAACAAACAAACAAAAAAGAUUGAGCCUGAAUCUGAUUAAGCCUUUAGAUUCAACUAACAAUUUACAGGAAACACAGGGAUAAAGAACCUUUUAAGUGAUACCAUAGCAAAUUCAGGCCAAUUGACCUGAUAUCUUUAACAAAAAGUUGCAAGAGGAAAAAGGGGAAAGAAGAGAAACCUAUAAAUUAAAGUAGAAUUAAAAUACAUAUUGCUCAGUUGCAAUGUAUUGUACCAUAUUUGGAUCCUGAUUUAAAUAAUGAAGUUGAAAGUACUCAGAAUUAGGGUAAUGUGAACUCUGGUUGAAUAUUUUAUGAUGUUAAGGCAUUAAUUUUUGCAUUAGAUAAUUGUUAUGAUCAUGUUUAAAGAUCACAAAAAGAAUCUUUAUCUUUUAGAGAUUCAUACUGAAAUAUUUACAGAUGAAAUGACAUAAUGUGUGGGAUUUGCUUCAAAAUAACCUGGGGAUGAGUUGGUAGUAGGUGGGGUUUUGGAUGGAAUGAGACUGGCCAUGUGCUGUAAGAAAACAAAAAAAAUUGGGUUGUAUGUUAGUUCACAUGUUCAUGCUUUCCAUUUUGAAAAAUGUAACAUGUAUAUGUGAUAGAGCCUGUGGGACUCAGGAGGCCUUCACUGAGCCUUGCUUUUCUGCUAAGGUACUUGUGUACAAUAGACUGUUCUUAUUUGUUCACCUCUUCAUUUUCUCUGGGCCUUUGAGGGAGCAGAUGUUGAUUAUUUCAGUUGAAAACUGGAACUAGUAUGCAUAGUGGUUGAGGCUAUACAGUUGUUGCGAAGAGAUAUAGAUGCAUACACAAGAUAAUGGAUAUGCUUUGUCUAUUGAUUUUUCUUAAUUAUUAUUUUUUUUUUAUAGAAAUGGGGCCAAUGUUGCCCAGGCCAGUCUCGAACUCAUGGACUCAGGCCAUCCGCUUAUCUUGGCCUACCCAAAGUGCUGGGAUUACUGGUGUGAGCCACUGCACCUGGCCCCAUUUAUUUUUCAAGAGAAGCAUUAUAGUUAUACUAAGAUGGUAAACUUAAUGUAGAUAAACAUUACCUUGUAAUAUUCUGGUAAGAUCAAUAUAUUUUGAAGUUAAAAUUUAAA
This is a non-coding RNA of Macaca mulatta (Rhesus monkey), 2806 nucleotides long. NCBI's taxonomy places the organism in Eukaryota, Metazoa, Chordata, Mammalia, Primates, Cercopithecidae. The record is from RefSeq and is a predicted model, not a curated record.